UGAUGUGAGGGGGAUCUGGCUGCGACAUCUGUCACCCCAUUGAUUGCCAGGGUUGAUUUGGCUGAUCUGGCUGGCUAGGCAGGUGUCACCAUCCUCCCUCACUGCUCGGUGUGCUUCCCUCCCGAAGCUGUGCCACUCACUCAGUGGAAGAGUACAGUCUUCCCCGAGUAGAGAUGAACUGGUCUUCAGUUGAGGGUAUAGGAGUGGCUGUGCUCCCUGCUAGAACCUUCAAACAAGCUCUCAAGAAAAAAAUACCUGUGGUACUACUCUACCACUCAUGAAGCUUCCCUUCUGAGGAUGGGAAGAGGGGCUUGAACCCAGAUCCCUGUGCAUGGUAACAG
This 341-nucleotide small nuclear RNA is filed under the name Erinaceus europaeus (western European hedgehog). Its description in RNAcentral is "7SK RNA". It matches the Rfam family "7SK RNA". From Rfam's summary of the family: 7SK was discovered as an abundant small nuclear RNA in the mid-70s but a possible function has only recently been suggested. Two independent studies have found that 7SK RNA binds the CDK9/cyclin T complex (known as elongation factor P-TEFb). Lineage: Eukaryota; Metazoa; Chordata; Mammalia; Eulipotyphla; Erinaceidae. The record is from Rfam by way of RNAcentral.